This 262-nucleotide ribosomal RNA is filed under the name uncultured Eubacteriales bacterium. RNAcentral describes it as "uncultured Clostridiales bacterium partial 16S ribosomal RNA". It matches the Rfam family "Bacterial small subunit ribosomal RNA", at positions 540 to 802 of the family's 1533-position model. The record is from RNAcentral. Lineage: Bacteria; Bacillati; Bacillota; Clostridia; Eubacteriales.
GUUGUCCGGAAUCAUUGGGCGUAAAGGGUACGUAGGCGGUUAAAAAAGUUAGAAGUGAAAGGCUAUAGCUCAACUAUAGUAAGCUUUUAAAACUGUUUAACUUGAGAGAUGGAAGGGAAAGUGGAAUUCCUAGUGUAGCGGUGAAAUGCGCAGAUAUUAGGAGGAAUACCGGUGGCGAAGGCGACUUUCUGGCCAUUAUCUGACGCUGAGGUACGAAAGCGUGGGUAGCAAACAGGAUUAGAUACCCUGGUAGUCAAGGGCG